AUUGAACGCUGGCGGCAUGCUUACACAUGCAAGUCGAGCGGCAGNGGNGGGCAAUCCUGGCGGCGAGCGGCGAACGGGUGAGUAAUACGUCGGAACGUGUCCGUAGCGGGGGAUAACCUGUCGAAAGAUAGGCUAAUACCGCAUACGACCUACGGGUGAAACGGGGGACUCUCGGGCAACUGAGGGCCUCGCACUGUUGGAGCGGCCGAUGUCGGAUUAGUAGUUGGCGGGGUAACGGCCCACCAAGGCGACGAUCCGUAGCUGGUCUGAGAGGACGAUAGCCACACUGGAACUGAGACACGGUCCAGACUCCUACGGGAGGCAGCAGUGGGGAAUUUGGACAAUGGGCGCAAGCCUGAUCCAGCCAUGCCGCGUGGGUGAAGAAGGCCUUCGGGUUUAAAGCUCUUUCGGCGGGGACGAAACGGUCCGUGCCAACAUCACGGACUAAUGACGGUAUCGCAGAAGAAGCACCGGCUAACUACGUGCCAGCAGCCGCGGUAAUNCGUAGGGUGCGGCGUUAAGCGGAAUUACUGGGCGUAAACGUGCGCAGGCGGCGCCGUAAGNCAGAMGUGAANCCCCGGNCUUAACCUGGGAACNCGUUUGGA
Molecule: ribosomal RNA, 605 nt
Filed under: uncultured Lake Michigan sediment bacterium LMBA38
Lineage: Bacteria; Pseudomonadati; Pseudomonadota; Betaproteobacteria
Description: bacterial SSU rRNA
Rfam family: Bacterial small subunit ribosomal RNA
Source: RNAcentral